GACGAAGGAUUCAAGCGUUGUCCGGAUUUACUGGGUUUAAAGGGUGCGUAGGCGGAAAUAUAAGUCAGUGGUGAAAUCCCGCAGCUCAACUGCGGAACUGCCAUUGAAACUGCAUUUCUUGAAUACGGUUGAGGUAGAUGGAAUGUAACAUGUAGCGGUGAGAUGCUUAGAUAUGUUACAGAACUCCGAUUGCGAAGGCAGUCUACUAAGCCGUUAUUGACGCUGAGGCACGAAAGCGUGGGGAGCAAACAGG
RNAcentral lists this ribosomal RNA (253 nucleotides) under uncultured bacterium. RNAcentral's name for it is "partial 16S ribosomal RNA". It matches the Rfam family "Bacterial small subunit ribosomal RNA", at positions 524 to 776 of the family's 1533-position model. The record is from RNAcentral.